AGACAGCUAGGAGGUUGGCUUAGAAGCAGCCAUCCUUUAAAGAAAGCGUAAUAGCUCACUAGUCGAGUCGGCCUGCGCGGAAGAUGUAACGGGGCUCAAACCAUGCACCGAAGCUACGGGUUCAACGUAAGUUGAGCGGUAGAGGAGCGUUCUGUAAGCCUGUGAAGGUGAGUUGAGAAGCUCGCUGGAGGUAUCAGAAGUGCGAAUGCUGACAUGAGUAACGACAAUGCGAGUGAAAAACUCGCACGCCGAAAG
RNAcentral lists this ribosomal RNA (255 nucleotides) under Stutzerimonas stutzeri. RNAcentral describes it as "partial 23S ribosomal RNA". It matches the Rfam family "Bacterial large subunit ribosomal RNA", at positions 1087 to 1343 of the family's 2925-position model. Lineage: Bacteria; Pseudomonadati; Pseudomonadota; Gammaproteobacteria; Pseudomonadales; Pseudomonadaceae. The record is from RNAcentral.